Molecule: transfer RNA, 73 nt
Rfam family: tRNA
About the family: Transfer RNA (tRNA) molecules are approximately 80 nucleotides in length. Their secondary structure includes four short double-helical elements and three loops (D, anti-codon, and T loops). Further hydrogen bonds mediate the characteristic L-shaped molecular structure. tRNAs have two regions of fundamental functional importance: the anti-codon, which is responsible for specific mRNA codon recognition, and the 3' end, to which the tRNAs corresponding amino acid is attached (by aminoacyl-tRNA synthetases). tRNAs cope with the degeneracy of the genetic code in two manners: having more than one tRNA (with a specific anti-codon) for a particular amino acid; and 'wobble' base-pairing, i.e. permitting non-standard base-pairing at the 3rd anti-codon position.
Source: Rfam
GGGUCACUAGCUCAGUCGGUAGAGCACUUGACUUUUAAUCAAGUUGUCCCGGGUUCGAUUCCCGGGUGGCUCA